AGUCGAGGGGUAUGGUUCUUCGGAACCAGAGACCGGCGCACGGGUGCGUAACGCGUAUGCAAUCUGCCUUUCACAGAGGGAUAGCCCAGAGAAAUUUGGAUUAAUACCUCAUAGUAUAGCGACAUCGCAUGAUGAUGCUAUUAAAGUCACAACGGUGAAAGAUGAGCAUGCGUCCCAUUAGCUAGUUGGUAAGGUAACGGCUUACCAAGGCAACGAUGGGUAGGGGUCCCGAGAGGGAGAUCCCCCACACUGGUACUGAGACACGGACCAGACUCCUACGGGAGGCAGCAGUGAGGAAUAUUGGUCAAUGGGCGCAAGCCUGAACCAGCCAUGCCGCGUGCAGGAUGACGGUCCUAUGGAUUGUAAACUGCUUUUGCACAGGAAGAAACACUGAUUCGUGAAUCAGCUUGACGGUACUGUGAGAAUAAGGAUCGGCUAACUCCGUGCCAGCAGCCGCGGUAAUACGGAGGAUCCAAGCGUUAUCCGGAAUCAUUGGGUUUAAAGGGUCCGUAGGCGGUCUGGUAAGUCAGUGGUGAAAGCCCAUCGCUCAACGGUGGAACGGCCAUUGAUACUGCUGGACUUGAAUUAUUAGGAAGUAACUAGAAUAUGUAGUGUAGCGGUGAAAUGCUUAGAGAUUACAUGGAAUACCAAUUGCGAAGGCAGGUUACUACUAAUGGAUUGACGCUGAUGGACGAAAGCGUGGGUAGCGAACAGGAUUAGAUACCCUGGUAGUCCACGCCGUAAACGAUGGAUACUAGCUGUUGGAAGCAAUUUCAGUGGCUAAGCGAAAGUGAUAAGUAUCCCACCUGGG
RNAcentral lists this ribosomal RNA (811 nucleotides) under uncultured bacterium. RNAcentral's name for it is "bacterial SSU rRNA". It matches the Rfam family "Bacterial small subunit ribosomal RNA", at positions 60 to 877 of the family's 1533-position model. The record is from RNAcentral.